AACGAACGCUGGCGGCAUGCCUAACACAUGCAAGUCGAACGAGACCUUCGGGUCUAGUGGCGCACGGGUGCGUAACGCGUGGGAACCUGCCCUUAGGCUCGGAAUAACUCCCCGAAAGGGGUGCUAAUACCGGAUAAUGUCUUCGGACCAAAGAUUUAUCGCCUUUGGAUGGGCCCGCGUUGGAUUAGCUAGUUGGUAGGGUAAAAGCCUACCAAGGCGACGAUCCAUAGCUGGGCUGAGAGGAUGAUCAGCCACACUGGGACUGAGACACGGCCCAGACUCCUACGGGAGGCGGCAGUGGGUAAUAUUGGACAAUGGGCGAAAUCCUGAUCCAGCCAUGCCGCGUGAGUGAUGAAGUCCUUAGAGUUGUAAAGCUCUUUUACCCGCGAUGAUACUGACAGUACCGAGAGAAUAAGCUCCGGCUAACUCCGUG
RNAcentral lists this ribosomal RNA (433 nucleotides) under uncultured bacterium. RNAcentral's name for it is "partial 16S ribosomal RNA". It matches the Rfam family "Bacterial small subunit ribosomal RNA", at positions 29 to 507 of the family's 1533-position model. The record is from RNAcentral.